GAUGAACGCUGGCGGCGUGCCUAAUACAUGCAAGUCGAGCGAACGGACGAGAAGCUUGCUUCUCUGAUGUUAGCGGCGGACGGGUGAGUAACACGUGGAUAACCUACCUAUAAGACUGGGAUAACUUCGGGAAACCGUAGCUAAUACCGGAUAAUACUUUGAACCGCAUGGUUCAAAAGUGAAAGACGGUCUUGCUGUCACUUAUAGAUGGAUCCGCGCUGCAUUAGCUAGUUGGUAAGGUAACGGCUUACCAAGGCAACGAUGCAUAGCCGACCUGAGAGGGUGAUCGGCCACACUGGAACUGAGACAUGGUCCAGACUCCUACGGGAGGCAGCAGUAGGGAAUCUUCCGCAAUGGGCGAAAGCCUGACGGAGCAACGCCGCGUGAGUGAUGAAGGUCUUCGGAUCGUAAAACUCUGUUAUUAGGGAAGAACAUAUGUGUAAGUAACUGUGCACAUCUUGACGGUACCUAAUCAGAAAGCCACGGCUAACUACGUG
Molecule: ribosomal RNA, 497 nt
Filed under: uncultured bacterium
Lineage: Bacteria
Description: partial 16S ribosomal RNA
Rfam family: Bacterial small subunit ribosomal RNA
Source: RNAcentral